This 253-nucleotide ribosomal RNA is filed under the name uncultured bacterium. RNAcentral describes it as "partial 16S ribosomal RNA". It matches the Rfam family "Bacterial small subunit ribosomal RNA", at positions 524 to 776 of the family's 1533-position model. The record is from RNAcentral.
GACAGAGGGGGCAAGCGUUGCUCGGAAUCACUGGGCGUAAAGGGCGCGUAGGCGGGACGGCAAGUCGGUCGUGAAAGCCCUCGGCUCAACCGAGGAGAGUCGGCCGAGACUGUCGUUCUUGAGGGAUGCAGAGGAGACUGGAAUUCCCGGUGUAGCGGUGAAAUGUGUAGAGAUCGGGAGGAACACCGGUGGCGAAGGCGGGUCUCUGGGCAUCUCCUGACGCUGAGGCGCGAAAGCUAGGGGAGCAAACGGG